This 490-nucleotide ribosomal RNA is filed under the name uncultured bacterium. Its description in RNAcentral is "partial 16S ribosomal RNA". It matches the Rfam family "Bacterial small subunit ribosomal RNA", at positions 29 to 505 of the family's 1533-position model. The record is from RNAcentral.
AGUGAACGCUGGCGGUAGGCCUAACACAUGCAAGUCGAACGGCAGCACAGUAAGAGCUUGCUCUUACGGGUGGCGAGUGGCGGACGGGUGAGGAAUACAUCGGAAUCUACUUUUUCGUGGGGGAUAACGUAGGGAAACUUACGCUAAUACCGCAUACGACCUACGGGUGAAAUCAGGGGAUCUUCGGACCUUGCGCGAUUCAAUGAGCCGAUGUCGGAUUAGCUAGUUGGCGGGGUAAAGGCCCACCAAGGCGACGCUCCGUAGCUGGUCUGAGAGGAUGAUCAGCCACACUGGAACUGAGACACGGUCCAGACUCCUACGGGAGGCAGCAGUGGGGAAUAUUGGACAAUGGGCGCAAACCUGAUCCAGCCAUACCGCGUGGGUGAAGAAGGCCUUCGGGUUGUAAAGCCCUUUUGUUGGGAAAGAAAAGCAGCAGGUUAAUACCCCGCUGUUCUGACGGGACCCAAAGAAUAAGCACCGGCUAACUUCG